This is a long non-coding RNA of Gymnodraco acuticeps, 853 nucleotides long. RefSeq lists it as uncharacterized. Lineage: Eukaryota; Metazoa; Chordata; Actinopteri; Perciformes; Bathydraconidae. The record is from RefSeq and is a predicted model, not a curated record. The transcript has 2 exons.
AAGAAGAAGAACGAAACAAACGACAAAGAAGAAGAAGUAAGAAAGAUGGAAGCAGUAAUGAAGUCAGAAAAAGACCUAAACAUGUUUAAAUCUAAAGGAACCGCCAUAUAUUUACCCAAACACUCCUACUGGUUUGACUUCUGGUUGUUCGUGGUGUUCGACAUCGUGUUUUUCCUCGUCAUGUACUUUAUAAUCCCGUAAAAAAGGUUUGUCCCCUGGAGAGAAAGAGUCCCUGCUGUGAGGAAUGCUAACCGAGCUUCUACUGAUUUUAACACCAUAUUAUGGGAUAUCACGUCCAUGUUUCCACAACUUGGACUAGAACUACAAGUCCGUACAUGUGUCUUCCUGCUGCUUUGACACCAGACAUUUGACCCUCAGAGCUCGGUCUUUCUGCACGGAUGGAUUCACUUUAUUGCUGCUGCGAAGAGACUAACUUCAAGUUGUUUUAUUUAAAAGUGACAAUGGCCCUUCUGAUGACCCCCUGCUGUGAUAACAACAGAUCUUACCUGCACACCGUGGAUCUUACCUGCACACGUGGAUCUUACCUGCACACGUGGAUCUUACCUGCACACCGUGGAUCUUACCUGCACACCGUGGAUCUGACCUGCACACCGUGGAUCUUACCUGCACACCGUGGAUCUUACCUGCACACCGUGGAUCUUACCUGCACACCGUGGAUCUUACCUGCACACCGUGGAUCUUACCUGCACACCGUGGAUCUUACCUGCACACCGUGGAGCUUACCUGCACACCGUGGAUCUUACCUGCACACGUGAUGAUUUGGAAAACGAUUACAGCUCAUUUUGAACGUUUGCACAUGUGACACACUGCAAUAAAAAUGUUUUACCUACGA